This 309-nucleotide ribosomal RNA is filed under the name Salmonella enterica subsp. enterica serovar Typhimurium. RNAcentral's name for it is "partial 23S ribosomal RNA". It matches the Rfam family "Bacterial large subunit ribosomal RNA", at positions 212 to 559 of the family's 2925-position model. Lineage: Bacteria; Pseudomonadati; Pseudomonadota; Gammaproteobacteria; Enterobacterales; Enterobacteriaceae. The record is from RNAcentral.
CGAGGAAAAGAAAUCAACCGAGAUUCCCCCAGUAGCGGCGAGCGAACGGGGAGGAGCCCAGAGCCUGAAUCAGCAUGUGUGUUAGUGGAAGCGUCUGGAAAGGCGCGCGAUACAGGGUGACAGCCCCGUACACAAAAGCGCAUGUGCUGUGAGCUCGAUGAGUAGGGCGGGACACGUGGUAUCCUGUCUGAAUAUGGGGGGACCAUCCUCCAAGGCUAAAUACUCCUGACUGACCGAUAGUGAACCAGUACCGUGAGGGAAAGGCGAAAAGAACCCCGGCGAGGGGAGUGAAAAAGAACCUGAAACCGU